RNAcentral lists this ribosomal RNA (605 nucleotides) under uncultured bacterium. RNAcentral's name for it is "bacterial SSU rRNA". It matches the Rfam family "Bacterial small subunit ribosomal RNA", at positions 8 to 608 of the family's 1533-position model. The record is from RNAcentral.
AGAGUUUGAUCCUGGCUCAGAUUGAACGCUGGCGGCAUGCCUUACACAUGCAAGUCGAACGGCAGCACGGAGCUUGCUCUGGUGGCGAGUGGCGAACGGGUGAGUAAUACAUCGGAACGUACCCUAGAGUGGGGGAUAACGUAGCGAAAGUUACGCUAAUACCGCAUACGAUCUAAGGAUGAAAGUGGGGGAUCGCAAGACCUCAUGCUCGUGGAGCGGCCGAUAUCUGAUUAGCUAGUUGGUAGGGUAAAAGCCUACCAAGGCAUCGAUCAGUAGCUGGUCUGAGAGGACGACCAGCCACACUGGAACUGAGACACGGUCCAGACUCCUACGGGAGGCAGCAGUGGGGAAUUUUGGACAAUGGGCGAAAGCCUGAUCCAGCAAUGCCGCGUGAGUGAAGAAGGCCUUCGGGUUGUAAAGCUCUUUUGUCAGGGAAGAAACGGUGAGAGCUAAUAUCUCUUGCUAAUGACGGUACCUGAAGAAUAAGCACCGGCUAACUACGUGCCAGCAGCCGCGGUAAUACGUAGGGUGCAAGCGUUAAUCGGAAUUACUGGGCGUAAAGCGUGCGCAGGCGGUUUUGUAAGUCUGAUGUGAAAUCCCCGGGC